CACUUACACAUUCUAACUCUAACUUACACACUAACACAUACACAUUCUCACUGACCUACACAUUGUCACUUGCACACUCUCACUAACAUACACAGUGUCACUUACACACUCUCACUAACACACACAGUGUCACCUACAUACUCUCACUUAUACACACACACUCUAAUUUACACACUCUCACUGGCAUAGACAUUGUCAGUUACACACUCUAACACCACACAGUGUCACACAUGCUCACUAACAGUGUCACUUGCACACUCUCAGUAACUGUCACUUGCACUCUCUCCCUAACACAUACUCACUAACAGUGUCACUUGCACACUCUCCCUAACACACACACCCAGAGUCACUUGCACAUUCUCACUAUCACACACACACACACACACACACACACACAGAGAGUCACUUGCACACUCUCCCUAACACACACACUGUCACUCAAACACAAACUUUACAUAAGGUCACACUUUAUUUACACACACAAACACACCAAUUUAACACACUCCCCCAUUUACAAACAUGCACACAAUAAGCAAUCCCCCUUAACCAUGCCAUACCUGGGUGCUAUGCUGAGCAGAGGUCCAGGCUGUAGGAUCCAGGAUGUUGCUCUUUCUCCUGGGGGAGCAGGAGAGCCAUGCACUUUGAGCACAGCCUGCUUCCUGCUCCCUUCACAGUGCUUCCGGUGUUCACAGGCUCCCCCUGCCUGCAGGAAGCACAGUGCUCUGCUCGGGUUACAGCAAACCCCACU
Non-coding RNA from Pelobates cultripes (western spadefoot toad), 748 nucleotides. The record is from the annotation of a GenBank genome assembly. NCBI's taxonomy places the organism in Eukaryota, Metazoa, Chordata, Amphibia, Anura, Pelobatidae.